This 280-nucleotide long non-coding RNA is filed under the name Cyanistes caeruleus (blue tit). RNAcentral's name for it is "lncRNA (ENSCCEG00000023530.1)". Lineage: Eukaryota; Metazoa; Chordata; Aves; Passeriformes; Paridae. The record is from RNAcentral.
UUAUUUUUCCAAAGCAGGAACCUUUUGAAGAUGUGUGUUCUCAUGACAAGGCAAACUAUCAUUCCAUCUGGAAGCACCAGUGUCAUCACAGAAGUUUUUGUUCAGUGCUUGUACAAGGAGAUCAAGAAUAAACUGUAUGCAGCAGAAACUGGCUUUCCAAUAAGAAGAAAUUUUUCAGAGAUUUUUCUUGUGAAAAUUAAAUGACAACAAACGUUGAUUAAGAUUGCUACAUCAAAAAAAUGGUUUUAGAAGGAUUUGCUGCCAAUUAAAAUAGGGUGAG